CAGCCGCCACGGUAAUACGUAGGGUGCAAGCGUUAAUCGGAAUUACUGGGCGUAAAGCGUGCGCAGGCGGUUUUGUAAGACAGAGGUGAAAUCCCCGGGCUCAACCUGGGAACUGCCUUUGUGACUGCAAGGCUGGAGCGCGGCAGAGGGGGAUGGAAUUCCGCGUGUAGCAGUGAAAUGCGUAGAUAUGCGGAGGAACACCGAUGGCGAAGGCAAUCCCCUGGGCCUGCACUGACGCUCAUGCACGAAAGCGUGGGGAGCAAACAGGAUUAGAUACCCCCGUAGUCCCUGUCUCUUAUAC
Molecule: ribosomal RNA, 301 nt
Filed under: uncultured bacterium
Lineage: Bacteria
Description: partial 16S ribosomal RNA
Rfam family: Bacterial small subunit ribosomal RNA
Source: RNAcentral